RNAcentral lists this small nuclear RNA (187 nucleotides) under Haemaphysalis longicornis (longhorned tick). RNAcentral's name for it is "U2 spliceosomal RNA". It matches the Rfam family "U2 spliceosomal RNA". From Rfam's summary of the family: U2 is a small nuclear RNA (snRNA) component of the spliceosome (involved in pre-mRNA splicing). Complementary binding between U2 snRNA (in an area lying towards the 5' end but 3' to hairpin I) and the branchpoint sequence (BPS) of the intron results the bulging out of an unpaired adenosine, on the BPS, which initiates a nucleophilic attack at the intronic 5' splice site, thus starting the first of two transesterification reactions that mediate splicing. The record is from Rfam by way of RNAcentral. Lineage: Eukaryota; Metazoa; Arthropoda; Arachnida; Ixodida; Ixodidae.
AUCGCUUCUCGGCCUUUUGGCUAAGAUCAAGUGUAGUAUCUGUUCUUAUCAGCUUAAUACUGAUACGAGUCCUAUUUGGACUCAAGAUAUUAACUAAUUUUGCCACUUGCGCCGUGAAGGGGCUUGCUCCUCCGGCGCCGCGGGUUGUCCCGGCGUUGCACUGCUUGCCGGGUUCGGCCCCAAGACC